AAAGAAAAGAUAGGGUAUUUUUGGUCAUGAAAACUGGAACAAACCCUAAUCACUUCUAACCUUAAAUAGUUAUAUAGCCGUAACUCCCUCCCCCUCUUUCUAGUUUUGUUGAGGUUACUUUGAUCUCUCUCUCUCCUCCGAUCACUCUUUCCCCCCUAGGGCUGUCUCGCUGUUUAGCCAGCACCUCUGAUUACUUUCUGCUCUAACUAUUUGAGAAAGGUCGCAUCUUCUUCACUACAGUCAAGUCCAGUUUUGAUAGGUUAAUCUCGGCCAUUAAUGGGUCCUCGCUCUUAACAAAUAAUUAAUGCGAGCGGGGGAUCAUCGUCACUCACGGGCCAAAAGUGAUUUUAAGGGGCAUCCUCAAGGGGUUUUUAUGUUAUUCCUCUCUUAUGUUUUAACCCAGGGAAACUGCCCUAUAUACAUGUAAUCCGUCUGGGGGUACCUAUUUACUUUUAACAUAUUAGACCUAAUCAAACUCAUUUAUUAUUUAUUAUUUUUUUAUGGAGGAAUGGUUCCAGCAGAUGUGCAAAAGACAUUGGAGAAUGGCUUUGCAAGAUAGAGUAAUGGAAGAAACAAAUGACAGGAAGAAUGCUGUUGAGGAGGCCUAUGUCUAUGACAUGAGAAACAAGGUAGCAUGCUUAGUGGCAAAAAAUAUCUGGCUUUUAGUUUUGGACUUUAGGCGUCUACAUUGCCAGGCUGGAGAAUUGAUUCCAGCAGAUGUGCAAAGGUGUUUACAUUGCCAAGAUGGUGAUCCCAUUGAGGAUCGUUACAAAAGAGAGUGAUAACCGAGAGCUGUAAUUGUUCGUUGCAUUAAUAGCUACAGAGAAGCAGCAGUUUCAAAUGAUCAUAGAUUUGAUCACAUCGACAUCUCUGAAAAAGAGAAGGUCCUAAAUGAAUGUGUAGAGGCAGAAGCUUGGUCGAGAGAGAAAAAGCUCCAACAGGAUUCACUUCCUAAGUAUGUGAAUCCAGUUUUCUUCUCUGCUGAUGUGCUAAAGAAGACUGAAACACUGGACAGAUUUUGUAAACCAAUAAUGACGAAACCAAGGCCAGCACCAGCCAAGCCAGCUACUCCUGAGGCCCCACCAACCGCACCUCCUUGGCCAGUGAGCAGCAGCAACCUCAAGGAGUUGAUGCUAAUGCCAGCACUGCCGGCAGCAGAUGGCGGUGCUGAGACAUCGGCUUCUGCAGAACCAAUGGAUACGAAGACUUCUACAACUUCUGCGCAUGGUCCUUUCAAGUGGUUCUUGCCUCUUAAUGUUUUGUUUUUCAAGAAAGAAUUUGGUUCUUAUGUACAAGUACUUUUAUGAUUCUAAGUCUAGGGAAAAACUGGGGGGUGGACCUAUCAUGAAAGCAUCUGGAGUGUGUCCGCCUCUUUCGGGUCUGUGAAACCUUUUCUGUUGUGGGUGGUCCGCCAAAUUUUAUAGUUAAUUAGGGUGGAUCUUCAGUAUCCGGUUUUUAUAUAUUUUUUGAGGGUUUUCAAGAUAUACUGUUGGUAGUCUUCCUGACAGUUGUAGGGGAAGAACAAGAGAAAUACAUUUUGAUAUGGUCCUAAGUGCCAUUGUUUUUAUGUUGGUAUGCUCUGCACAAUUAAUUUCUGGAA
Quercus lobata is the source of this 1600-nucleotide long non-coding RNA. RefSeq lists it as uncharacterized. The record is from RefSeq and is a predicted model, not a curated record. Lineage: Eukaryota; Viridiplantae; Streptophyta; Magnoliopsida; Fagales; Fagaceae. The transcript has 4 exons.